AACGAACGCUGGCGGCAUGCCUAACACAUGCAAGUCGAACGAGACCUUCGGGUCUAGUGGCGCACGGGUGCGUAACGCGUGGGAACCUGCCCUUAGGUUCGGAAUAACUCCCCGAAAGGGGUGCUAAUACCAGAUAAUGUCUUCGGACCAAAGGUUUAUCGCCUUUGGAUGGGCCCGCGUUGGAUUAGCUAGUUGGUAGGGUAAAAGCCUACCAAGGCGACGAUCCAUAGCUGGUCUGAGAGGAUGAUCAGCCACACUGGGAGUGAGACACGGCCCAGACUCCUACGGGAGGCAGCAGUGGGGAAUAUUGGACAAUGGGCGAAAGCCUGAUCCAGCAAUGCCGCGUGAGUGAUGAAGGCCUUAGGGUUGUAAAGCUCUUUUACCCGGGAUGAUAAUGACAGUACCGGGAGAAUAAGCGCCGGCUAACUCCGUG
RNAcentral lists this ribosomal RNA (433 nucleotides) under uncultured bacterium. RNAcentral describes it as "partial 16S ribosomal RNA". It matches the Rfam family "Bacterial small subunit ribosomal RNA", at positions 29 to 507 of the family's 1533-position model. The record is from RNAcentral.